GGGGAUGUAGCUCAGAUGGUAGAGCGCUCGCUUAGCAUGUGGGAGGUACAAGGAUUGAUACCUUGCAUCUCAA
Molecule: transfer RNA, 73 nt
Organism: Ipomoea nil (Japanese morning glory)
Lineage: Eukaryota; Viridiplantae; Streptophyta; Magnoliopsida; Solanales; Convolvulaceae
Rfam family: tRNA
About the family: Transfer RNA (tRNA) molecules are approximately 80 nucleotides in length. Their secondary structure includes four short double-helical elements and three loops (D, anti-codon, and T loops). Further hydrogen bonds mediate the characteristic L-shaped molecular structure. tRNAs have two regions of fundamental functional importance: the anti-codon, which is responsible for specific mRNA codon recognition, and the 3' end, to which the tRNAs corresponding amino acid is attached (by aminoacyl-tRNA synthetases). tRNAs cope with the degeneracy of the genetic code in two manners: having more than one tRNA (with a specific anti-codon) for a particular amino acid; and 'wobble' base-pairing, i.e. permitting non-standard base-pairing at the 3rd anti-codon position.
Source: Rfam